This 330-nucleotide ribosomal RNA is filed under the name uncultured bacterium. Its description in RNAcentral is "bacterial SSU rRNA". It matches the Rfam family "Bacterial small subunit ribosomal RNA", at positions 568 to 898 of the family's 1533-position model. The record is from RNAcentral.
UCCGUAGGCGGUGCGGUAAGUCGGGAGUGAAAUCUCUGGGCUUAACUCAGAGGCUGCUUCCGAAACUACCGUGCUCGAGUGCGAGAGAGGCAAGUGGAAUUGCGGGUGUAGCGGUGAAAUGCGUAGAUAUCCGCAGGAACAUCCGAGGCGAAGGCGGCUUGCUGGAUCGCAACUGACGCUGAGGGACGAAAGCUAGGGGAGCAAACAGGAUUAGAUACCCUGGUAGUCCUAGCCCUAAACCAUCAGGACUUGGGGUUUGCCCUGUACGGGGCAAGUCCCGUAGCUAACGCGUUAAGUCCUGCGCCUGGGGAGUACGGUCGCAAGACUGAA